RNAcentral lists this ribosomal RNA (465 nucleotides) under uncultured bacterium. RNAcentral describes it as "partial 16S ribosomal RNA". It matches the Rfam family "Bacterial small subunit ribosomal RNA", at positions 28 to 507 of the family's 1533-position model. The record is from RNAcentral.
GACGAACGCUGGCGGCGUGCUUAACACAUGCAAGUCGUACGGUAAGGCCCUUUCGGGGGUACACGAGUGGCGAACGGGUGAGUAACACGUGAGUAACCUGCCCACAACUUUGGGAUAACGCUAGGAAACUGGUGCUAAUACUGGAUAUGUGCUCCUGCUUCAUGGUGGGGGUUGGAAAGCUCCGGCGGUUGGGGAUGGAUUCGCGGCCUAUCAGCUUGUUGGUGGGGUAGUGGCCUACCAAGGCGGCGACGGGUAGCCGGCCUGAGGGGGUGACCGGCCACAUUGGGACUGAGAUACGGCCCAGACUCCUACGGGAGGCAGGAGGGGGGAAUAUUGCACAAUGGGCGCAAGCCUGAUGCAGCAACGCCGCGGGCGGGAGGACGGCCUUCGGGUUGGAAACCGCUUUCAGCAGGGACGAAGCUUUUUGUGACGGUACCUGCAGAAGAAGCACCGGCUAACUACGUG